UUCCUUCCGUGAGAGGCUAGCAUGGGAGCAUGGUGCCUGGAAUGUGACUAGCUCAGACCAAAACAACAUGCUAAGGACAGAGAAAGAGCCUGGAUGUUAAAGACAUCAUUGACUGUCGCACCAACCCUGAAACCACCCGCCUUCAGACUUCUUGUUAGGCAAGUAUCCAGAGUGGUGGUGGGCUCGGCCUAUGGUGGCCGGGUCCCUGUCACCUGUGGCUGAGGCCCCCUGACUGACAGCUUUGUGGUGCCCUGGCUUCCCCACAGGACUGCUGCACUCUGGAAUCAGAGCUACCCUGGGCCUCACAGGCGCUGUUGGCCAGACGCUGGGUGGAGAGCUGGCCCAGCCCUUCUCCCUACUUCCUCCUCUCACCCUGGCCUUCUGCCCGUCAGUCCUACUCCUUCAGGGUUCUGUGUUCCUUCCAGGAAUGUGCUCCUCCCCACCCCUCCACCUCAACUCUCCUAAGCCCAGCUCAAGGUGGAUCUCUCCCUGUGGAGCUGCUCUGACCCCACAGGCUGCUCCUUCACUCUGGGCCAGCAGCAUUUCCCACGGACCACAGCUACAAGCUGUUUCGUGAGUUGGUAAAAUGCCUCUAUAGUACUGAUUUCUUUGUCUCUCCCAUUAGGCUGUGAGCUCAAGGGUGGAAAUUAUAGCUCAUGAAUCAACAAAUUCUCUACACUAGAUGGGACCUGCAGUAAAUGUUUGCUGAAUGACUGAAUGAAGGAUGAGGCCAUGUUCAUCAGCACAAGAAACCUUUGACCUGCUCUAGAGCCUUCCCACGCUGACUGAUCCUGCUGGGACGCAGGCCAGCGCCCCUCCAUCCGGAAACUCGGAACUCGCUUACCUGCUCCCGCUGGAAUGGUAUUGUAUUAAGGCACCUGGAACUAUAGUAGGUAUUUAUUAACCCCACCACACGGAGGGGACUCCAAGAGUCUGUCCUGAAGAUACUUUCCCCUGGUCCAUGGUGUUUAGCUUUUCUAGUCUCCUCGCAGCCAGGAGUGGCCCUGUGACCCUGUGACCCUGCGCUGGCCCCUGAGACAAAGUGGAAUUCCUUUGGGCAGCUGCAGCUGGGGCCUGUGCUUCCUGUUCCGGGAGGCAAGCACCAGGAUGAAACCAUGUGCUAAAGGUGGGAGGGGGUGGAGGACGGGGGAAACAUAGACAGAACCAUCACGAACACACUCGUUCUAGAAUCUAUGGACCCAGACAUUUUCACUCAAGGAAAUCCAGCGGGUCCCUUCAGUUCUAUGGGGAAGCAAUGAGGUAGCAAAGUUAGGGUGUGGGAUCUGGCCACAGACACAUCCCAGUUCAAGUCCUCACCAGGGGUGUGCGGGGACUCAGUCCUCUGGCCCUCACUUCCUCCCCUGCGGGAUGGGACUAAGGCACUCACUCACCUUGCAGGGCUGUGUGAGCGCGAAUGAGAGAAUGCACUUUAAAUGCCUGGUCUCCUAUCUAGCACACAGCAAGCACUAAAACAAACAUUUCCGACUACAAAUGCAGACUACCCCGCCCACGCCCCUCCCCAGCAAAACUGUCUUGAAGCCAACUUUUCAAACGAACAGCCCUUUCCAGACCGGGCUUGGAAAGCUGCACCCAUUUCCUAAGCUGCUGAGAACCCUGGCUGCCUCUCCCCUGCCAUUUUGUAACCACCAGCCGCAAGAGGAACCCUAAAAUACUCUACAAAGACAGCCCACAACGUCCCAGUUGAUGUAACCACUGUAGUACCCAAAUUAAAAUUAUCUCAGGUUAAGGAGUUUUUUGUUUUUUUAUUAAUGUUUGGAGAGAGAGGAAGGGAGGGGGGGAGGGGGAGAGAGAGAGGCAUCGGUUUGAGAGUGGAAUAUCGAUCGGCUGUCUCCCACAUGCCCCGCACUGGCGUUUGAGCCUGUGACCUGGGCACAUGCUCUGACCGGGAAUUGAACCAGCAACCCUCAGUGCACGGGAGGACACCCAAGAACCAAGCCACACCAGCCAGGGCAGGUGAGGGAGGGUUUUAAAAACCUAUCCAGAUAAGAGAGUGCAAGGCUGUGAAGCCGAGGUUUGAAGUGGCUGGCCAAGGUACAUUCUUUUUUCCUCCCCCAACCUGUGUGUGAAAGAUGUUCUCUCUCUCUCUCUCUCUCUCUCUCUCUCUCUCUCUCUCUGUCUGUCUCGGAUUGGCUCUGUGAUCAAGUCAAAAACCUACAAGUAGGCCUGCGGGCUGGAGACCAGGGAACAGGCACAGCUCAGGUCCAAAGGUCGUCUGGCAGAAUUCCCUCUUUGGGGAGGCCAGUCUUUCUUUUAUUAAGGCUUUCAAUGGACCGGCUGUGGCCCACACUACAGAGGGUAAUCUGCUUUCCUCAGCACUAAUCUCAUCUAAAAACUACCUUCACAGAAACAUCUAGAAUAAAGUUUGACCAAAUAUCUGGGUCCCAUCGCCCAGCUACGUUGCACAUAAAGUUAACCACCCCAGGGGUUUACAGCAACCAAUGCAAACAAGUUCCAAUCCAACAGGGGCCACUCUGUCCGUCCUUCAGUUCUCCUCCAACUGUCAGCCUCCUGCGGUCUGGCUGGCCCCCUGCCCCUCUUCCCCCCUCCCUUCCUUCCUGCUCUACCUGCCCCACCAGGAGCGAAGCCCAGCGCCUGUCCUUGGGGCCUGCACAGCAGUCUGGCUCUCCAUCAAUUGCCAGGUUCCCCCAGUCCAUCAAGGCAUCAGUCCCUGGGAGGUUUUGUCACUUGCCUGGGGACACAGCUAGGAAGGGGUGGAGCUGGCAUUUAAACCCAGGUGUUCUGACGUAGAAGUCUGGGUUCUCACCCUAUUCAGACUGCUUACAUCUGAAAUGUGCUACCCAGGAUCAUGUUAGAUGGUCUCACGGGUACAUUUAAAGACAUUUCUAGACUUAAAUAUUCAAUUUAAUGUGGACUAGGAAAAGAGCAUGAACUAACUCAUCAGAGUAAUGAUUUCAUGGGUAUAAUCACACAGGAAGAGGCCGAAUUUAAAAAGGUGAGCCAACAAAAGGAAAACACCAUGAAAAUAAAACUGAAGGCAGCCCGGGGCAGAUAUAAAACAUCAGGCAGUGCCUGAAGGAGGAGCCUGGAGAGCCGAGCCUGGAUCCACAGCCCUGGGCGAGAAGCCUCUUCUGCUUUGGUUCAAACCUCAGUGGCUCUGGGAAGUUCAUCUGAGCUUUCCUAUCAUUUCACUGGGAUCCUGGGUGAGUCACUCUUUCCAGCUUCCCCUCUCUGGGUCUGUGUCCUGUGUAAAAUGUGUGGUUCAGUAGAUGGGCGUCGACCCACGAACCAGGAGGUCACGGUUCGAAUCCCUGUUGGUGGAGUGCAGGAGGCAGCCGAUCGAUGAUUC
Long non-coding RNA from Myotis lucifugus (little brown bat), 3328 nucleotides. RefSeq lists it as uncharacterized. The record is from RefSeq and is a predicted model, not a curated record. Lineage: Eukaryota; Metazoa; Chordata; Mammalia; Chiroptera; Vespertilionidae. The transcript has 3 exons.